This is a small nucleolar RNA of Hibiscus syriacus, 73 nucleotides long. Lineage: Eukaryota; Viridiplantae; Streptophyta; Magnoliopsida; Malvales; Malvaceae. The record is from RefSeq and is a predicted model, not a curated record.
CUUCUGCCUACGAUGGUGUUAAAUAUACUUCGAGAGAUUCUCUCUUUGAAAUAAACCAAAUCUGAGGCACAAG